GCCGCGCCCGCUGCCACCCACAGCCCUCCGGCGAGCUCUCAGAUGGGAGGAACAGGAAGCUCAGCUGGUUCCGUCCCUGCCCUGCAAGAAGAUGACUUUUCUGCCAGAUGGGAGCGGAUGCCCACCUCCGCCACGCCAGCUUCUGUCUUCCUCCCGGUGACGGCACCGCAGCUCCCCUGACACCGCGUACAUUCCUGAAGCGCUCAGCACCUACUACAUAACAGUCAAGGAAGGAAGGAAGGAAGGAGGGAGUGAAUGGGU
Cercocebus atys (sooty mangabey) is the source of this 261-nucleotide long non-coding RNA. RefSeq lists it as uncharacterized. The record is from RefSeq and is a predicted model, not a curated record. The transcript has 3 exons. NCBI's taxonomy places the organism in Eukaryota, Metazoa, Chordata, Mammalia, Primates, Cercopithecidae.